GAUGAACGCUGGCGGCGUGCCUAAUACAUGCAAGUCGAGCGAACGGACGAGAAGCUUGCUUCUCUGAUGUUAGCGGCGGACGGGUGAGUAACACGUGGAUAACCUACCUAUAAGACUGGGAUAACUUCGGGAAACCGGAGCUAAUACCGGAUAAUAUUUUGAACCGCAUGGUUCAAAAGUGAAAGACGGUCUUGCUGUCACUUAUAGAUGGAUCCGCGCUGCAUUAGCUAGUUGGUAAGGUAACGGCUUACCAAGGCAACGAUGCAUAGCCGACCUGAGAGGGGGAUCGGCCACACUGGAACUGGGACACGGUCCAGACUCCUACGGGAGGCAGCAGGAGGGAAUCUUCCGCAAUGGGCGGAAGCCUGACGGAACAACGCCGCGUGAGUGAUUAAGGUCUUCGGAUCGUAAAACUCUGUUAUUAGGGAAGAAAAUAUGUGGAAGUAACUGUGCACAGCUUGACGGUACCUAAUCAGAAAGCCACGGCUUACUACGUG
This 497-nucleotide ribosomal RNA is filed under the name uncultured bacterium. Its description in RNAcentral is "partial 16S ribosomal RNA". It matches the Rfam family "Bacterial small subunit ribosomal RNA", at positions 28 to 507 of the family's 1533-position model. The record is from RNAcentral.